Psammomys obesus (fat sand rat) is the source of this 937-nucleotide long non-coding RNA. RefSeq lists it as uncharacterized. The record is from RefSeq and is a predicted model, not a curated record. NCBI's taxonomy places the organism in Eukaryota, Metazoa, Chordata, Mammalia, Rodentia, Muridae. The transcript has 4 exons.
GCCGUGAGGCUGGGGUGGUCCUCUGGGGACUGGGAAAGUGCUCCGGGGUCAGGAGGAGACUCUGACGUGAGAAGGGAGUCAGCUGAAUAGAAAGAAGGGGGAACAGUCGGGAUCGGGCUAUCCCAGACCCGGAGGCCCUUUUCUUAUAACUUAGAGCCCACUCCUGCCUCGUUUUCCCCAGGGGUGGGCUGGGCUCAGAGCAUCCUAUUCCUGGGCCGUGGCGUUUACACUAGCUACUGCUCCAACAGAUGGAAGACUGUCCCUCGCCCAGGCCUCUUGCAGCCUGUUUAUCCCGCCCCCUCCCCUUCCUAGGUAGUGGGAGGCAUGGUUCUUAGUACGAGCAGCGGCCAGCCAAGGAUACAGGGAAUCAGGUGCCAUCAAAAAUGACUUUAGGCCGUGGACGGAGGGCGGAGAAGUGGGAAACCCUGUGAAGGAGAUGACGCUGAGGUCCCGGGGUCUGCCAGCAUCUGGAGCGGGAGCCACGGGCGCCUAGAACCGUGCCAGGUCGGUGGGGGUUGACUGGCUUUGGAGGAAAGCCACUGCGGUGCAGGCGUGGAUGGAGAGCAACAGGAGAGCCAGAGCAGGGGCGGCAGCAGUCGGCAGAGCCACCGUCUGGGCUGCUCUGAGAAUCAGGACAACUUGGCCUAAGACCUGAAGACCCCAGGGCAGAAGCCAUUUCCUGCCCACCACAAGUGAUGGUGGCUCCGACUUCCCAUCAGACCUGGUGAGGGCCUGCCUCAGUUUCAAAAGCAAGCUAAAGGGGGCUGGGCCCAGAGCCUCACACGUGCUGAACGAAUGUUCUGCCUCGGAGCUGUCUCCAGAACACCCGCCAUUUGAACAGUACCACUGGCCUGUAACAGCAGUUCAUACUUGGUCACGGAAGCCUACAGUUUCGCAAUACGGAUAAUAAAAAUUACUGAGUAUUUCUUCUCUUUUA